RNAcentral lists this ribosomal RNA (301 nucleotides) under uncultured bacterium. Its description in RNAcentral is "partial 16S ribosomal RNA". It matches the Rfam family "Bacterial small subunit ribosomal RNA", at positions 509 to 809 of the family's 1533-position model. The record is from RNAcentral.
CAGUAGCCGCGGUAAUACAGAGGGUGCGAGCGUUAAUCGGAUUUACUGGGCGUAAAGCGUGCGUAGGCGGCUUUUUAAGUCGGAUGUGAAAUCCCUGAGCUUAACUUAGGAAUUGCAUUCGAUACUGGGAAGCUAGAGUAUGGGAGAGGAUGGUAGAACUCCAGGUGUAGCGGUGAAAUGCGUAGAGAUCUGGAGGAAUACCGAUGGCGAAGGCAGCCAUCUGGCCUAAUACUGACGCUGAGGUACGAAAGCAUGGGGAGCAAACAGGAUUAGAUACCCCUGUAGUCCCUGUCUCUUAUAU